This is a long non-coding RNA of Magnolia sinica, 694 nucleotides long. RefSeq lists it as uncharacterized. Lineage: Eukaryota; Viridiplantae; Streptophyta; Magnoliopsida; Magnoliales; Magnoliaceae. The record is from RefSeq and is a predicted model, not a curated record. The transcript is spliced from 4 exons.
AGCUAUUGGACUGAUCCGGAUGAGAUCAACAAUGUAGACCAUAUUAGGGUGUUGGAAGAAUCUCUCAAGGAAUCACUCAGUCGAAUCUGGACACAUAAGGAAAAUUUUGGGAAACAACAGCUUAUGUCACUAGAAUGUUCUGCUCGGUUUCAGAAUGGGAUGCAUGUAUCGUUAGUAAUGGGUGGUGAACAACAGGCGUAGCCACUAUCAUGGUUUAAUAAUGGUCAACAUAUGAUGAUGUCAGAUGACCCAAAUUUGCUGCCUCAAAGGGAUAUAGACUGCUCCACAGGCACCUCUGAUCCCAAUUAUUUGCGUUGCUUUAGAACGGGAAAGCAAGCAGCAAUUGAUAGUUCAGGGCAAGAAGGUGCUUUGAAUGAGUUAAGUAGAAAUGAGUGCCUGAGGCUACAACUAGAUAUGUGUUGACCAUCUCCAUGGUUGUUUACUUCUCAGUUGUAAGAAAGCCUUUAGUGGCAGCAAUUGAUGGUUUUGCAUUUGGUUUAAUUUGAAAUGAGGGAUAUUUUUGAUAAGGAACCCAAAUUGAAACCAUCGUUGCAUGUCUUGGCUCAUUUUGUCAUUAUGGUUUUGGAUCUUUGUUUUUACUGUAUUGGUAUGAUCCUAUGUAAUUAAUGUUUUAUAUAUUGUUAGGAUGGAACCCAAAUUCAACUAAUGUCAGUCACACAAAGGAAAUAUUUUC